UUUGCCCGAUGUGCUUUUUA
RNAcentral lists this non-coding RNA (20 nucleotides) under Arabidopsis thaliana (thale cress). Lineage: Eukaryota; Viridiplantae; Streptophyta; Magnoliopsida; Brassicales; Brassicaceae. The record is from RNAcentral.